RNAcentral lists this ribosomal RNA (2675 nucleotides) under Escherichia coli. RNAcentral's name for it is "partial 23S ribosomal RNA". It matches the Rfam family "Bacterial large subunit ribosomal RNA". The record is from RNAcentral. Lineage: Bacteria; Pseudomonadati; Pseudomonadota; Gammaproteobacteria; Enterobacterales; Enterobacteriaceae.
GAAAUCAACCGAGAUUCCCCCAGUAGCGGCGAGCGAACGGGGAGCAGCCCAGAGCCUGAAUCAGUGUGUGUGUUAGUGGAAGCGUCUGGAAAGGCGCGCGAUACAGGGUGACAGCCCCGUACACAAAAAUGCACAUACUGUGAGCUCGAUGAGUAGGGCGGGACACGUGGUAUCCUGUCUGAAUAUGGGGGGACCAUCCUCCAAGGCUAAAUACUCCUGACUGACCGAUAGUGAACCAGUACCGUGAGGGAAAGGCGAAAAGAACCCCGGCGAGGGGAGUGAAAAAGAACCUGAAACCGUGUACGUACAAGCAGUGGGAGCACGCUUAGGCGUGUGACUGCGUACCUUUUGUAUAAUGGGUCAGCGACUUAUAUUCUGUAGCAAGGUUAACCGAAUAGGGGAGCCGAAGGGAAACCGAGUCUUAACUGGGCGUUAAGUUGCAGGGUAUAGACCCGAAACCCGGUGAUCUAGCCAUGGGCAGGUUGAAGGUUGGGUAACACUAACUGGAGGACCGAACCGACUAAUGUUGAAAAAUUAGCGGAUGACUUGUGGCUGGGGGUGAAAGGCCAAUCAAACCGGGAGAUAGCUGGUUCUCCCCGAAAGCUAUUUAGGUAGCGCCUCGUGAAUUCAUCUCCGGGGGUAGAGCACUGUUUCGGCAAGGGGGUCAUCCCGACUUACCAACCCGAUGCAAACUGCGAAUACCGGAGAAUGUUAUCACGGGAGACACACGGCGGGUGCUAACGUCCGUCGUGAAGAGGGAAACAACCCAGACCGCCAGCUAAGGUCCCAAAGUCAUGGUUAAGUGGGAAACGAUGUGGGAAGGCCCAGACAGCCAGGAUGUUGGCUUAGAAGCAGCCAUCAUUUAAAGAAAGCGUAAUAGCUCACUGGUCGAGUCGGCCUGCGCGGAAGAUGUAACGGGGCUAAACCAUGCACCGAAGCUGCGGCAGCGACGCUGAUGCGUUGUUGGGUAGGGGAGCGUUCUGUAAGCCUGUGAAGGUGUGCUGUGAGGCAUGCUGGAGGUAUCAGAAGUGCGAAUGCUGACAUAAGUAACGAUAAAGCGGGUGAAAAGCCCGCUCGCCGGAAGACCAAGGGUUCCUGUCCAACGUUAAUCGGGGCAGGGUGAGUCGACCCCUAAGGCGAGGCCGAAAGGCGUAGUCGAUGGGAAACAGGUUAAUAUUCCUGUACUUGGUGUUACUGCGAAGGGGGGACGGAGAAGGCUAUGUUGGCCGGGCGACGGUUGUCCCGGUUUAAGCGUGUAGGCUGGUUUUCCAGGCAAAUCCGGAAAAUCAAGGCUGAGGCGUGAUGACGAGGCACUACGGUGCUGAAGCAACAAAUGCCCUGCUUCCAGGAAAAGCCUCUAAGCAUCAGGUAACAUCAAAUCGUACCCCAAACCGACACAGGUGGUCAGGUAGAGAAUACCAAGGCGCUUGAGAGAACUCGGGUGAAGGAACUAGGCAAAAUGGUGCCGUAACUUCGGGAGAAGGCACGCUGAUAUGUAGGUGAAGCGACUUGCUCGUGGAGCUGAAAUCAGUCGAAGAUACCAGCUGGCUGCAACUGUUUAUUAAAAACACAGCACUGUGCAAACACGAAAGUGGACGUAUACGGUGUGACGCCUGCCCGGUGCCGGAAGGUUAAUUGAUGGGGUCAGCGCAAGCGAAGCUCUUGAUCGAAGCCCCGGUAAACGGCGGCCGUAACUAUAACGGUCCUAAGGUAGCGAAAUUCCUUGUCGGGUAAGUUCCGACCUGCACGAAUGGCGUAAUGAUGGCCAGGCUGUCUCCACCCGAGACUCAGUGAAAUUGAACUCGCUGUGAAGAUGCAGUGUACCCGCGGCAAGACGGAAAGACCCCGUGAACCUUUACUAUAGCUUGACACUGAACAUUGAGCCUUGAUGUGUAGGAUAGGUGGGAGGCUUUGAAGUGUGGACGCCAGUCUGCAUGGAGCCGGCCUUGAAAUACCACCCUUUAAUGUUUGAUGUUCUAACGUUGACCCGUGAUCCGGGUUGCGGACAGUGUCUGGUGGGUAGUUUGACUGGGGCGGUCUCCUCCUAAAGAGUAACGGAGGAGCACGAAGGUUGGCUAAUCCUGGUCGGACAUCAGGAGGUUAGUGCAAUGGCAUAAGCCAGCUUGACUGCGAGCGUGACGGCGCGAGCAGGUGCGAAAGCAGGUCAUAGUGAUCCGGUGGUUCUGAAUGGAAGGGCCAUCGCUCAACGGAUAAAAGGUACUCCGGGGAUAACAGGCUGAUACCGCCCAAGAGUUCAUAUCGACGGCGGUGUUUGGCACCUCGAUGUCGGCUCAUCACAUCCUGGGGCUGAAGUAGGUCCCAAGGGUAUGGCUGUUCGCCAUUUAAAGUGGUACGCGAGCUGGGUUUAGAACGUCGUGAGACAGUUCGGUCCCUAUCUGCCGUGGGCGCUGGAGAACUGAGGGGGGCUGCUCCUAGUACGAGAGGACCGGAGUGGACGCAUCACUGGUGUUCGGGUUGUCAUGCCAAUGGCACUGCCCGGUAGCUAAAUGCGGAAGAGAUAAGUGCUGAAAGCAUCUAAGCACGAAACUUGCCCCGAGAUGAGUUCUCCCUGACUCCUUGAGAGUCCUGAAGGAACGUUGAAGACGACGACGUUGAUAGGCCGGGUGUGUAAGCGCAGCGAUGCGUUGAGCUAACCGGUACUAAUGAACCGUGAG